GAUGAACGCUGGCGGCGUGCCUUAAGCAUGCAAGUCGAACGGCGGCACAGAGGAGCUUGCUCCUUGGGUGGCGAGUGGCGGACGGGUGAGGAAUACAUCGGAAUCUACUCUGUCGUGGGGGAUAACGUAGGGAAACUUACGCUAAUACCGCAUACGACCUACGGGUGAAAGCAGGGGAUCUUCGGACCUUGCGCGAUUGAAUGAGCCGAUGUCGGAUUAGCUAGUUGGCGGGGUAAAGGCCCACCAAGGCGACGAUCCGUAGCUGGUCUGAGAGGAUGAUCAGCCACACUGGAACUGAGACACGGUCCAGACUCCUACGGGAGGCAGCAGUGGGGAAUAUUGGACAAUGGGCGCAAGCCUGAUCCAGCCAUACCGCGUGGGUGAAGAAGGCCUUCGGGUUGUAAAGCCCUUUUGUUGGGAAAGAAAUCCAUCUGGUUAAUACCCGGGUGGGAUGACGGUACCCAAAGAGUAAGCACCGGCUAACUUCGUGCCAGCCGCCGCCGUAA
This 506-nucleotide ribosomal RNA is filed under the name uncultured bacterium. Its description in RNAcentral is "partial 16S ribosomal RNA". It matches the Rfam family "Bacterial small subunit ribosomal RNA", at positions 28 to 523 of the family's 1533-position model. The record is from RNAcentral.